ACUGCUUCCGGCCGGGCGCGGGGCGCGGUGCACCAUCGGCUCGCCGCCCAGCCCGGCAUGGAGGAGCGCGGCGGUGCCGAGCCCGCGCCGGGCUGCAGCGGCCUGGGCCCAGGCGGCGUUCGCGGCGGCGGCGCCCACUCAUGGGCCCCGGAGGACGCCUGGAUGGGCACCCACCCUAAGUAUUUAGAAAUGAUGGAAUUAGAUAUAGGAGAUGCCAGCCAAGUUUACAUAGCAUUCUUGGUUUACCUGGACCUCAUGGAGAGUAAAAGUUGGCAUGAAGUAAAUUGUGUGGGCUUACCAGAUCUACAGCUCAUCUGCCUUGUCGGUACUGAGAUAGAAGGAGAAGGAUUACAGACUGUGGUGCCUACACCCAUCAGUGCUUCCCUCAGCCAUAACAGGCAGCAGAGCCACCAUGAUGAACAAGAAGUUCUUCAUCUGGAGGACUGUGGCUCGGCUGGAGGGAGGCGUAUAUAAACAGCUAGUAGGGUAAACACAGAAGACAACAGAAGCCCAGAGAGGUAAACUGACUUACCUAAGGCCACACAGCUACUUAAUAACACAUUUGAGAACAGACUCAGUCUCCUGACUUCCAACUCCACUACUUACUGGGCUCCUGGCCUAGAAUCAGAUGGCACCAAGAAAAAUCCUGGAGAAAAUGACGCACCUCGUGCACGUCCCCUUCGAGAGGGCAAUUAUGGCUGGAGAAGAAUGGGCAGAGGAAUGUAUCAGUCAUCUAUCUCACAAGAAUGCUCUUGACCUAAAACAGCUCUUCUUUUCUCAAGAAAGCAGCCACACUGAGUCUGGCUCUCACAAGUCUGUCUUGCAAAUUCUCAUGCAAAAAUGUGCAUUUUGGCACCAGAUUAUCGGAUGGAAAAAUACAGGCAUUUUCCAAGCCCUAAACACAGAGUGUGCCAUCUAUUAGUUUGGAUUUCUUCCUUAACUAUCAUCAUACUAAUAUGUGGUGGUUUUUCCAAGAAGAAAUGAAUCCAAAUCUAUUUUGGACUCAGAAUCCCGGAAGCCUGGGUUUUAUCACUGGCUGAUCACAGAUGCACUGAAAAUGGAUUCUGAUUUUGGGGAAUCCAAACUGAGAUGGGCAUAUUUUGCUACCUGAAAUGGCCUGGACCUAUAUUUGCUCUUAAGGAGAGCAAGAAUUUGGAGUACAGAAUUUCUGGCAGCUGCUGCUGCCACCUAGAAAUUGUUAUUGAACAACAGGAAGCAAUAUGGCAAGGCUGAAACUGGCUUGUUUUCUCCGAAGACUUAAAGAAAUUUGGAGGCGUGAAUCUUCACAUUCCUCGUGGUGGAAGGCUUAAAGAGCAAGCCAGAUCCGAGCUGGCCUUGAAAACUCUGGCUUGUAUCUUAAAGGACUGCUUCAAGGUGAGGAUUUUGAAAAGUACGUUGGGCACUUGUAAGCUCCUCCCCCAAGCGAAGUCAGCAGGAGGCAUGUUGACGAUGGCUGUUUGCUCUCAACACACGGAGAGUUUGCAGAAAACUGGAGGUCAGACCCCUGCCUCUUCUUGGGCUCCGGAGGCCUCGUGCGGCCAGGACAGAUGCAGCGGGCCUAGCGACUAUUGCAAGCCCGCAUCGGACCGGGCAGAGCUAGGGGAACACAGCCUUGCGCCCUGCCGCUUGGGCCGGUGACGCGUGGGUGAGAGGACCCGUGUGCAGUGCGGAUGGCGCAGGGUCUGCUCUGAAGACGCACGGAGCAGUCUCCUUGAAUGCGAUGCCCACUGAGGCGGCGCAGGACCCACCGCCGCAUCAACUGCUGAUCUAUUUCAGUGGUGGCGUUUCCGCAGCAAUGGGAAAUUACUUAUUCUCAGAUCCUUAGCUGGUUUCCUUUUACAUAACUUCUGCGUCUUUCAAUUAUGUUCACUUUGGGGAAGCCCUAGGGCUCUCCUAAACCAUACAGGUGUGGAAUUUUAAUAAAACACGAUUUAUUAAAAUCCGAGCUCACAAAAUUGGUAAAUUAUGGAGAUGGAUUAUUUUUACCGCAAAAGGAUUUUGUGAUCAAAUUCAGGUUCCCUUUUAUUAAUCCCUAAUUCUCCUAGUGUGUAUAAUAACAUCACAUUGUGGAUUUCUUCAGAAGUAAUCCAUGUGCCCAGCUACAGUACAUCAUGGCAGGUAAAACCAUGUUAUUUGACUUCAACAGGACCUAGAUUUGAGACCAGGCUCUGACACUUACUUGCUGUGCGUUUGAAUAAAUUUAUUAUCCUGUCAGAAAUACAAAUUAAAAUUGUUGCAAAUGUUAAAUGAGAUAGCAUAGCUCGAACACUUAGCAUACAGCAAGAGCUCCCUAUUUUAGUGAGCAAUUCUUUGUCUUCUUAUUAGAGUAUUCAUAAAGGUCGGUUGACCCACAUCUGGUUUAAAUGCAACUUUUUUUGUAUCUUUUGUGUAAGUUAGAUCUACCUUUGUUGCUGUGACUUACUUCUGUGACCAUUCUGCCAGUUUCCUGUCCUGCCCAGUGGUUUGGGUUCUAUGGCCUUGGAUUUCCCCAAAGGCCAAAGUUUUUCCAUCACAGAAGUAGGUGGAAAAAGGGCCACUCCCAUAUCAUACUGCCUGUAGGCUGAGAGUCUGCAUAAUUAGAUGGGUUUCUCUCUAAAAUAAUGCUUCUCAAAGCAUAGCCAGUGAACCCCUUUAUCAUAAUCUUAGGAGUGUUUAUUAAAUUGCAGAUUCCUAGGGUCCUACCUCACAGCUUUUGAAAUAGAAUCUUCUGUGGAGGUUCUAGGGUAAGAAUCUUCAUUGUAAUAAGCACCUAGCUUAUUCUGAUGCUAACCAAAUAAAAUUGUAGAACUGCUCCAGUGCAGUCCUCAAGUUUGCCUGAUUAUGGAAUGGCCUAGGGAUAUUUAAUAAAAAUAGAGGUUCCUGGGCCCCACCCCACAAUUUCUAGGAAGGAACCUGAGGAUGUGUACUUUUAAAAUAUUUUUUAGUGCUUAUUUAUUUUUGAGAGAGACAGACAGACAGACAGACAGAGCUCAAGUAGGGGAGGGGCAGAGAGAGAGGGAGACACAGAAUCCUAAGUGGGCUCCAGGCUCCGAGCUGUCAGCACAGAGCCAGAUACCGGGCUCAAACCCACAAACCUUGAGAUUAUGACCUAAGCAAAGUCGGACGCUUAACCAACUGAGCCACCCAGGCGCCCAGAGGAUAUUUUUUAAUAAGUGCCCUCAGGUGAUUCUGAUGAUCUGGCAAAUGCAGGAAAUGCUGCUCUAGAAUGACUGGCCAGUGGCACCUUUGGUGGUAGUGGUGGUAGCAGGAAAGGGAUGGGGGCAGUGAUCAGGGACGGGAUGAUGGUUUGAAUGAUCCAGAGAGCGACUUAGGUCAAGAGCUGAGCCCCCGCUGUAAGGGUUCAUCUUUGCUUUUUACUUUUUUUUUUUUUAAUGUUUAUUCAUUCUUGAGAGAGAGACAGAGUGUAAGUGGGGGAGGGGCAGAGAGAGCGGGAGACACAGAACCCAAAGCAGGAUCCAGUCUCCGAGCUGUCAGCACAGAGCCCAAUGUGGCGCUUGAACUCACAAACUGCGAGAUCAUGACCUGAGCUGAAGUCGGACGCCCAAUCAACUGAGCCACGCAGGCGCCCCAAGAAUUGAACUCUUAACCAGUAACUGAGCCACCCAGGCACCCCUCCACAUCACCUUUGCUUUUCAGCAUCUCCCCCUGCAUGCCAGUCUGUGUCCAGCCGCUCCCACAGUGUUUCAGAAAGCAAAACCGAGUCACUUUGGGGAGAUGAAGCAAAUGCAAGAGUGAAUAGUGAAGCUCCUGGGCAGGAACCAGCAAUCUCAGAUGAACAACUGUGGGGCUGUGAGUAAAUGGAAAGAACAGCUGCUUAUCAUAACAGCCAUCCCUGGUUCUCUCUUACAGCCUGGCUGAAGUUCCCAUUGUCACCUUUUUCAGGAAUUGCCUCCUUUCCUUAAAAUGGUCUGACUAGGUUUGUAACUCAAAUGGCUUUCAUCAAAACAACACCCUGCACCAGGUGCUGGCCAUUCAGUGACCUGUGACUGAGCUGUGCGUUACCUACUGUCUUUCUGGACCUCUGUGCCAGCCUCUGCAACCAGAUUAGUUCUUUCAGAGCUUGCACUGGGUCCCAGCUUCUCCUCAGCAACAGCAGUCCAGGGAUGACAGGUGCCAUGCUUUCUGCACAAGUCUUCAUCUGUGGUGAGUAGAACAGUAAUGCUUCAACCUCAUAUUUUAUCGGCAGAUAUGGCUACCAGGUAAAAAAAAAAACCUACUUGUUACAAAGAUGCUCUCUUGGGAUACUCAUCCUCUCUCCAUGGUGCUCUCCUUACUCCCAGCAAAGCUGGACAAUACUUCCCUUAGUCUGCUGUCUACCCCGUGAUGGGAAGGCAGCCUACAAUCACAGGAGUCUUCUCUCUCUCCGUCUUCAACUGAUGUUCACAAGGUACCUGUUCUGUAAUUUUGCCCCCAGUUACUUUGGACCUGGGUCUACCACCUCAUGACAAUACUGAGUUUUUUCUUUCCCUCUGGUAGGGAUUAUCUGUGAUCCCAGUGGGUAAUAGAAUUUGCAAUGAGGAAGACUCUGAUACCACCAUAGUCCUUCAUCUAUCUUGUUAUAUGACAUUCUGGCCAGCAAACAAUGAUGAGGGCUUUAUUCUAGGGAGAUAUUGUAGUGUGUUCAACCAGAGAUAAGUAAGAUAAAGUCUAGGACAGAAAGAAAUUCAAAUGAGGAGUACAGCAACAUUUCAGUGGAUGACCUAUCCUAGGGUCAGCCUGGCAAUGAAAACAUAAGAGUCAGGAUAUUCAAAAUAUAAACAAUAUGGGAGUUCUUUAGUUGUGAUAUCUGUGUGUAUCUAUAUCUCUAUCUACAGAAAACUAAAAUAUUAAUCUGGAAAAAGUGUUGAUAAUGUGCAUUGUAUUAAGUGUUGUGUUGUCAACUAAUCUAGACCAAUUUGUUCAUUCACAACUGUUGGGUUCUUUUGGCAAAUAACGGUGACCUCUAAUGACUAAAGGUAGAGAGAGGAAGGGUCAAGGUCUCAUUCCCAAUAAACUUGUUACAAAGUGGUACAUUACAAGAAAAGCAAAUCUCAAACGAAAUCCUGCAACACAAAUGUGAACAUUUAUUAGCAAACAGACACGAAGAGUCAUGCAAUAUGCUCUUAUUGGCUCCCUCCCUUGGUCACUCUGUCAGUCCCCUUUCAUGACAGUUUCACUAGUGACAGAUACAGCAGUAUUCUCUAGGGAGGAUCAGUUAGCCAUCCAGUCAGAAUCAGACAAUAAGUCCUUUGGUAAGAGAUGGGACACAGGACCGAAUGGGACUUCUAGGCUGGUGCAUCAUCCCAAGAGAUAUCAGGCUGCUGCACAAGAGAGGUUCAUGCACAAGUGAGGGUGUCUGUACCUUGCGAGUCAGUUUACAUAUACUGAACACUAUUCCAAUUGCCUUUGAAAAACUAUUUCUAACUCCAAUUAUGCUAAUGAAUAAACCCUUGACUACAGACAGAGAUAGACAUCGUUGAAGCACUCCUAGUACUCUGGAGUAGACUCCUGAGUGGGCUUCUUAAAAUUUUAACUAAGCACCUCUGGACAGUUUAUCCCAGGUUAGGAAUGUUAAUUAGGUACUCCUAGCAUAUAGAAUAAAACCAACACACACAC
Molecule: RNA transcript, 5595 nt
Organism: Acinonyx jubatus (cheetah)
Lineage: Eukaryota; Metazoa; Chordata; Mammalia; Carnivora; Felidae
Gene: TSEN15
Gene name: tRNA splicing endonuclease subunit 15
Exons: 12
Source: RefSeq, a predicted model, not a curated record